This 73-nucleotide transfer RNA is filed under the name Nicotiana attenuata. RNAcentral describes it as "tRNA tRNA-Glu". It matches the Rfam family "tRNA". From Rfam's summary of the family: Transfer RNA (tRNA) molecules are approximately 80 nucleotides in length. Lineage: Eukaryota; Viridiplantae; Streptophyta; Magnoliopsida; Solanales; Solanaceae. The record is from Rfam by way of RNAcentral.
UCCGUUGUAGUCUAGUUGGUCAGGAUAUUCGGCUCUCACCCGAAAGACCCGGGUUCAUGUCCCGGCAAGGGAA